This 257-nucleotide unclassified non-coding RNA is filed under the name plant metagenome. Its description in RNAcentral is "partial contains small subunit ribosomal RNA and internal transcribed spacer 1". The stretch from base 1 to 46 matches the Rfam family "Eukaryotic small subunit ribosomal RNA", at positions 1786 to 1831 of the family's 1831-position model. The record is from RNAcentral.
AAGUCGUAACAAGGUUUCCGUAGGUGAGCCUGCGGAAGGAUCAUUAGAAUGAGAGCCGGACCAUUGUCGUGGGCGAAAAGCUUCGCACGUGCCAGUAAGCGCCCGUAAACCUCCACCCUUGUGUUAUUAUUCUUCUGUUGCUUUGGCAGGACCGCGACCCUCUGGGGGAGCGCUAGGCUUCAGGCUUGGAGAGUAGCCUGCCAGAGGACCAAACUCUGUAAUUUAAUGCCGUCUGAGUACUACGAAAAUAGUUAAAA